Molecule: ribosomal RNA, 466 nt
Filed under: uncultured bacterium
Lineage: Bacteria
Description: partial 16S ribosomal RNA
Rfam family: Bacterial small subunit ribosomal RNA
Source: RNAcentral
GACGAACGCUGGCGGCGUGCUUAACACAUGCAAGUCGAACGGAAAGGCCCUGCUUGCAGGGUACUCGAGUGGCUAACGGGUGAGUAACACGUGGGUGAUCUGCCCUGCACUUCGGGAUAAGCUUGGGAAACUGGGUCUAAUACCUGAUAGGAGCCAUCUUUAGUGUGGUGGUUGGAAAGUUUUUUCGGUGUAGGAUGAGCUCGCGGCCUAUCAGCUUGUUGGUGGGGUAAUGGCCUACCAAGGCGGCGACGGGUAGCCGGCCUGAGAGGGUGUACGGCCACAUUGGGACUGAGAUACGGCCCAGACACCUACGGGAGGCAGCAGUGGGGAAUAUUGCACAAUGGGCGCAAGCCUGAUGAAGAGACGCCGCGUGGGGGAUGAAGGCCUUCGGGUUGUAAACUCCUUGCGCUAGGGAAGAAGCUUUGUUGUGACGGUACCUAGAUAAGAAGCAACGGCUAACUACGUG